GGAGGGUGCAAGCGUUGUUCGGAAUUACUGGGCGUAAAGCGCGUGUAGGCGGCUUCGCAAGUCGGAUGUGAAAUCCCAGGGCCCAACCCUGGAACUGCAUCCGAUACUACGGGGCUAGAGUCCUGGAGAGGAUGGCGGAAUUCCGGGUGUAGAGGUGAAAUUCGUAGAUAUCCGGAGGAACACCAGUGGCGAAGGCGGCCAUCUGGACAGUGACUGACGCUGAGACGCGAAAGCGUGGGGAGCAAACAGGGAUUAGAUACCCUGGUAGUCCACGCCGUAAACGUUGAGUGCUAGACGUCGGAGGUAUUGACCCCCCCCUCGGUGUCGCAGCUAACGCAUUAAGCACUCCGCCUGGGGAGUACGGCCGCAAGGCUA
RNAcentral lists this ribosomal RNA (375 nucleotides) under uncultured organism. Its description in RNAcentral is "partial 16S ribosomal RNA". It matches the Rfam family "Bacterial small subunit ribosomal RNA", at positions 527 to 896 of the family's 1533-position model. The record is from RNAcentral.